This is a non-coding RNA of Coturnix japonica (Japanese quail), 10364 nucleotides long. NCBI's taxonomy places the organism in Eukaryota, Metazoa, Chordata, Aves, Galliformes, Phasianidae. The record is from RefSeq and is a predicted model, not a curated record.
CUUCUCUAAAGAGAUGGCUUUUAUUCUUCAGUUACUUUUUUUUUUUUCUUCCCCUACACAGGUCAAAUAGGGAAGAAUGCAGUGAUAGCCAUGCAAACCUUGCUCAUAAAUCAUGUCACAGCUGUCUUGGGUAUGAGAAUGAACUGUUAUUCACACCAGACCGGUCCACAGCUAUAUAAUAAGAUCAUCCUUCUCCCUCAUACACUCUGAGAAUGACACAAUGUUUAAAUAACUAUGGGAAUUUCAAUUAAUGAUUUAUGAACAGCUGAAGCUUUUAUUUCUCAAGUUGUUGUAAUCAAAGCCACUCCACUGUAUUUAAUAAGAUUAGAUGGCAAGGAAAGAGAAGAAGAAUACAGUAAUGUUUGCUGUGUCUGCCACAUCUUCCACAUUUGAAGGGGUGGUGAAGCUAUGGGUGAAAUACCCCAUCCAUUUUGACAGCAUAUGACAGUCAUAGAAAUUGCCUUUUGUGGAGGUAGAAAACUUGAUGGUUUUAUUUUAAGGCUUUUGAAUGCUCUAAAUAUUCCCUGGCUCAUUUUGGGAUUUCCAUGUGAAGAUUAGUUAGCAGAGUUCAGUUAGGUAGGAAUUUUAAGUAUUAUUAUUUUAAGAUAAAAGGAAAAAAAAAUACUAGACUGCAUAGCAGUUUUAGCUGCCAUUUACAAAACUUGUUUUGACUUUUUGACUAGUUCCAUUCUGCUGCCCUAAUGGGAAAUACAAAUCUUUUGCCUGUCUCAAUAAAAGUACUUAAAGUUUUCAGUCUUUCUGAAAGCUUUUGCUAUAGACUCCAGUGUUGUAAUGUCAAAGGACCAGGUCAUGUUAUUGAGGCAAUGGACUACUGGGAAUGUAUCUGAACACGGGUGUAAAUGUGCAUGUGUGCUGCACAGGUCCCCUCUCUGUUAGCUGGCGGGUGGGUUAAUGUUGUCUGGCAGCCUAACUCACACCUAGCUGCUUGUUCACUCCAUGCUAGCAGGUGGGAGGAGAGACUUAGAAGGACAAAAAUGGAGAAAGACUUGUGAAUGGAUAUGAUAGUUUAAUAAAGAAGAGAGUGGAUGGCGAAUGUACUGUAGAAGCAAUAAGUUGCUGCUUCCUGCUAGCAGCCUGGUAUGUGAGUCACACUGAACAAUGGCUCCUUGGAAAAAACUUCCCCAUGUGGCUCUAUCCCUUACCACAGUGGUAUAGGGUAAAGAAUGUCCCUUUUGGGUAAACUGAGGUCAGCUGACCCCUCUCCCAGCAUCUUUACCUCAUCCUGUAGAGUGGGAAACAGAGAAAUCAUCAGUGCUGCAAUUGCUGCUUGGCAAUAGCAAAAUCCCUGGUGUCAACACAGUGUUGUUCACAAGCCCGAAACAUAGCAAUGUGCAGGCUGCUAUUAAAAAGUUAAAUCCAUCCCUGUCAGACACCUGUGAGUGUGUUCAGUCAUCUCUUCUCUAGGGCUGUGCUGUUUGUGGAGGGAAAGGUAAAAGAGGGAAAAAUUAUUAAAUGUUGAUUUGAGCUCCCAGGUAGUUAGUGCAGAAAUUGAGUGAACAUCAGCAUGCGUGUGUAUACAAAUAGAUAUCUGUGCUUAUUUGAGGAGCCUUUAAAGUUUUUUUUUAAAGGCAAUAUCAAACCUCAUAGUAAAUGAGAACAUAAGGUUGCAUCAUAUCUAAAAGCCUGAUAAACUGGCAUAUCUGUAUGUCUUACAAUUGUUUGGCCUAAUCUUAAGAUAUUUUCUUUCUUUUUUUGUUUGAGUGGGUUUAUCAGUGUCCAUGUUUCAGUUUGUUAUGCAAAAGCUACUUUAGCACUCCCUCUUGCUUAAGAAAAAUAUCAUAUGCCAUGGCAAGAUUAUCUACAUGAAGCUUUUCAAAUCACCAUGGUCCUGUAGGCUAGCCAUUUCACCAGUAAGAAAUAGGAUUUGAGGUUAUCCAAGCAAUAAAUGCACUUCUGUUCCUUCUGCAGAGGAAAGAAGUCAUGCCUUAGGCUAUCCUAUCUAUUAACCACUUAGGAAGAGGGGAACAGGAGGGCUACAGAGGCAGCACUGAGCAUAGAAACUGUCUUAUUUGGGGCAUUUUUAGAUGCCGACUCCCUGCUUUGUCAGAGACUCAGUAACAGGAAUGCCAAGCACCUAUGCUUUCAGAAAUGCAUAAUUGAUUUGGAAAUACCAGGUGGUCAAUCUUGGCACUGUGAUUGCCUGAGUAAUUGGUUUUUAGAAGUUGGAAUUUCUGAAAUGAAAUGGGGAUUUCUACUUCUGGGAUGCUGAGGGCCACUCUUUAUCCUUGAUGUAGGCUGUUCUGCCCUGCUGUUGUAUUCAGUUUACUGUUUUGGUUAUUUUUAGUGCCUAAGAAUGCAUUUCUACAACUGCUGUCAGCAAAGGUUCUAUGUUUGUGUGCUCCUUAAGCUUUCUGCGGAUGAUUUUGUUAUCAUUUCCUCAAUUCUGCUAUCCAUUUUUCUCUGUGGUUUGCUUUGUACAUCUGUCUGCAGUGGCUUAAGGGGUCAGCUUAUGUAUUUCAAAAAUUGUGCAAUUUCUGUGAUAAUUUCCUUGGUAAAUUAGGCAACGAUACACUCAAAGGGAUAUUCACCAUGAAUAGUUGGGUGCUAUCAUUAUGAUUGGUGUGAGGGUUAUCUCUUUAGAGGAAAGACAUUAGCGUAGAACUUUACAACGUGAACUAUGCCAUCCCAGCUUUAAAGCAAAUGCAGCAGAAUCCUGAUUUUGUAAAUAGGCUACAGCAAUAUUCUGUAAGUUUUAAUUCAGAAAAAAAAAAAUUACAUCACAAGUCUACGUUCAUCGGUCUGAUUUCAAUCUCAGUGAAAGGCAAAUCAGAGCAUGAGGGAUGUUAAAGUCUCUUACUCUGUUUAAGUUGUGUUCUCUGUUCACAGAUGUGGCAGAAUACAUGUGUUGUGACUAAUGUGUCUUUUCCCAACGCGUGAUGUGGUAGAAAGGACUUUGCUGCUUUCAGUUACUUGAUGUUUCACAGAAGUCCAAAGAGAUUUUGCACAAAGUCUGAGGGAAACCUGUACUUUAAAAAUCAACGAGUUAAUGACUCCCUCUGCCUCUAGAAACCAAAUUAUAGCUCUGAAGUUUGUGAAUCCUGAGCUCCUCCUUGCUUAUGCCACUCAUAGGAAAAUAUGACUGUGUUUGGCUGCCUGUACUAAAAAAAAGAAAAACAACAUUUGCACUUUGUGAUUCAGUUGAUGCAGUUGAUGUUCAGCUAAAGUUGCAGUUUCACUCUGUGCGGAAUUGAAACUCUCAUGCUCUUGGCUGAGUGAUGGGCAGUUCCUAAUAUGAGAAAAAUUAUAUCAAUCUUAGUCCAAAAGAGACACCAAUGUGAUGGUGCAGCUAUCGAAGCUGUCAAAGUUUGAAGCUGCAGAUUGCCGGGGAGGUUUCCAAAGGCUGUGGGUGGCCAUAGAGAGUCGCUGGGUUAGGUGGCUGUGCACUGUGCCUUAGAAAACUGGCAUGUAACUAAUGUUAGUGGACGUUAAGCACCUCGUGCUUAAGGUCUGCUCCAGUGUAAUGCACCAGAGAGAUGAUUGAAGAAGUCAACGGUUGCAGUUCAGUCUAUGCCCUGCCAUUCUACUACAUAUGAUGACACAAUUAAGCACAUUUGCUUUACAAUGAAGUGAACAGCCACAGGUAAGUUGAAGCUCACUUUCUGCUCUGCUUUUCUGGUUUGUUUUGGUUCCCUUCCCCCAAGUCUCAUUCACUUAAUAGACGUUCUUCCACAAAGAAUUAAUCUUGAGAGACUUAUCUGCUUACAUCAGGCACACAAGCAGGUCUCAGUUAAGGGCCAGCUCUUGAAGCUGUUAGCAACAGAAAUGAACCUCCGAUAAUAAUAAUAAAAGAAAGAAUUAAACUUCCAAAUCUAAAAUAUUGUUAAUGUCGGUCUCACUUUGUCUCUUUGUGGUCAUAGAGCUUGCACUUAAAAGCAUAAAAAAAAGAAGGAACUCAAGCUUCUGCAAAUCUAUGUUGUCUGAAGUGAAUGCUGCGUUUGCGUAACACAUCUCUCCUAUGUGAUUUACGUUGCUUUCUCAUUCCAAACGUUCCUUUGGGUUUCCCCAUGGCAUCUUGGAGUCUUUAUAGUUCCUUGAGGUCUAACACUAUGGACUGGUAGACAACAAAGAUUAAAAUGAAAAGCAUGCUCAAAAGUGGCAGAGAACAGAGAAAUUUUCACCAUAAGAUGAAAACUAAACAACAACAACAAAAAAACCUUUUGUUGCAACAGCACAUAGAUUUGCGAGCAAUGGGGGAAUUUGCUUAAUAAGGAAAAAAAAUUGAGCACUCAGUUAUUUUUAUGGGGAGUGGAGGAGUAACGGAGGUAGUGCCGUUUUAAUUUUAAAGCCAGAUAUUUGAGGAAGUGGAUUGCAGCAGUUGUUUCAUGUUUAAUUCUUUCUCAAGCUGCAGUUCAGCUGAAGAGAAGAACAAUAAAGCAGUGGUUGCUGCUGUUGUCUUGAGUGAGUUAUGCCGCUCCUCUCUACCGGAUCUGAACCAGCGAAGACCUCUUCUACACUGUUUUCUUCUGCUCUGAUUUAUAGUUUUGUCUUAUGACAAAUCCUUCAGAGGUGAUAGCGCACGGAAAAUGGUACAACAUGCAAAGACAUCAAAUGCAUUGCUGUUUGUCUUGCUCUUCUUAUUUCCAAUGCUGCUGUCAGGAAACUGGUUUCCCAAAACUUUACCCUGUGAUGUGGAAGCCUUUGAAGGUACUGUGAGAGUAGACUGCAGUGAUCGCCGCCUCACGGAAGUCCCCAGAGGGAUCCCUGCAAAUGCAACUAACCUGACCCUGACUAUUAACCAUAUCCCUCAUAUCUCUUCAGCAUCCUUUAUUCAGCUUGAAAACCUUGUGGAGAUUGACUUCAGAUGCAACUGCGUGCCUCCCAGACUGGGGCCCAAAGAUAACGUGUGCACCACACCACCAACAAUUGAGAAUGGCAGUUUUGCUGCUCUGACUAGACUGAAGUCAUUGUACUUGGAUGCAAACCAACUGUCAGAAAUACCCCGGGGUCUUCCUGAUACUUUACGUUUGCUGAGUUUGGAAGCCAAUAAAAUUUUUUCUAUUAAGAAAAACACUUUUUCAGAGCUAAGAAAUAUAGAACUAUUGUAUCUGGGACAGAACUGUUACUACCGUAAUCCAUGUAAUAUUUCAUUUGAAAUUGAAAAAACAGCCUUUCUGAAUCUGAAAAAUUUGACAGUACUAUCCCUCAAGUCUAAUAACUUAACUUUUAUUCCACCCAACUUGUCUUCAACUUUAAAGGAAUUGUAUAUUUACAAUAACAGAAUUCAAGAGGUUCAGGAACAUGAUUUAAGUACCCUUUACAACCUAGAAAUUCUUGAUCUCAGUGGCAAUUGCCCACGUUGCUAUAACGCCCCAUAUCCUUGUACUCCCUGCCCCAAUGUCUCAAUUAAGAUUCAUUCAAAAGCUUUUUAUUCCUUGAAAAAAUUAAGAGUUUUGAGACUUCAUAGUAACUCUCUUCGGAGUAUACCAAGCAGCUGGUUUAAAAACAUCAAGAAUCUCAAAAAUCUUGACCUCUCUCAAAAUUUCCUCAUAAAGGAGAUUGGAGACGCUCAGUUUUUGAAGCUUAUCCCCAGUCUUGUAGAGCUGGAUUUGUCCUUUAAUUUUGAAUUGCAGAUGUAUUCUCCAUCCUUGAAUCUGUCCAAGACAUUUUCUUCCCUCUCUAACCUGGAAAUCCUAAGAAUCAAGGGUUAUGUGUUUAAAGAACUGAGAGAAGGAAAUCUAGAUCCAUUGCUCAGUCUUAAAAAUCUGACAGUAUUGGAUCUUGGGACUAAUUUUAUCAAAAUUGCUGACCUAAGAGUGUUCAAGAAAUUCCAAGCCCUAAAAGUCAUAGAUCUCUCAGUGAAUAAAAUUUCUCCUUCUUCGGGUGAAAGUAACAUUUAUGGAUUUUGCUCUGAUCCCAGGAUUACAGUAGAGCAAUACAGCAGGCAAGUUUUACAAGAGAUGCAUUACUUUAGGUAUGAUGAGUAUGGUCGAAGUUGCAAGUCCAAAGACAAAGAGGCUGACUCCUACCAACCUUCAGUCAAUGGAGACUGCAUGAGUUAUGGACAAACUCUAGAUUUAAGCAGAAACAAUAUAUUUUUUGUUAACUCCAUAGACUUCCAGGAUCUUAGUUUCCUCAAAUGCCUCAACUUGUCAGGCAAUGCCAUAAGUCAAACUUUAAAUGGAAGUGAAUUCAGCUACCUGUCUGGAUUGAAAUAUCUGGAUUUUUCUAACAACAGGAUUGAUUUGCUAUACUCAACUGCUUUCAAAGAGCUGAAAUAUCUAGAAAUUCUAGAUCUGAGCAAUAACAAGCAUUACUUUCUGGCAGAAGGUGUUAGCCAUGUGCUUAGUUUUAUGAAAAACUUGGCCUAUCUGAAGAAGCUGAUGAUGAAUGAGAAUGAGAUUUCUACUUCUAUUAGCACAGGAAUGGAAAGCCAAUCUCUUCAAACUUUAGAAUUUAGAGGAAAUCGUUUAGAUGUUUUCUGGGCAGACGGGAAGAAGGAAUACCUGUCGUUCUUCAAGAAUCUGACCAAUCUGGAACAACUGGAUAUUUCCUCUAACAUGCUCAGCUUUUUACCUCCUGAUGUUUUUGAAGCUAUGCCUCCAGAACUCAAGGUACUGAACUUAACCAGUAACCGGUUGAAGUCAUUCAACUGGGGAAAACUCCACUUCCUGACCAAACUAGUAACUCUGGACCUCAGCAAUAACCUUCUGACUACUGUUCCCCGAGAGCUGUCCAAUUGCACUUCAACUCUCCAACAACUGAUACUGCGAAACAAUCAUAUUACACGGUUAACCAAAUAUUUUCUCAGAGGUGCCAUUCAACUGUCAUACUUGGACCUCAGUUCAAACAAGAUCCAAAUAAUUAAGAAAUCUAGCUUCCCUGAAAAUGUCAUAAACAACCUGAGGAUGCUGCUUUUACACAACAAUCCUUUCAAGUGCAAUUGUGAUGCAGUGUGGUUUGUUAGGUGGAUAAAUCAAACUCAAGUGACAAUUCCUCUUUUGGCCACAGAUGUGACUUGUUCUGGCCCAGGGGCACACAGAGGAAGGAGUGUGGUAUUCCUGGAUCUGAAUACCUGUGAGCUAGACACAUCCUAUCUGAUCAUGUAUGCUUUAUCAACUUCAGCUGUCCUAAGUUUAAUGAUGUUUGCAGUUAUGAAUCACCUCUAUUUCUGGGAUGUGUGGUAUAGCUAUCAUUACUGCACUGCCAAGUUGAAGGGCUAUAGACGCUUACCUUUACCAGAUGCCUGCUAUGAUGCUUUUAUUGCCUAUGACAAUUCAGAUCUGGCUGUGAAUGAAUGGGUGAUGACAGAAUUGGUUGAAAAGCUGGAAGAUCAAAAAUCCAGACAGUUCAAUUUAUGUUUGGAAGAAAGAGACUGGCUUCCAGGUCAGCCAGUCUUUGACAACCUUUCCCAGAGCAUUCAACUGAGCAAAAAGACCAUAUUUGUGCUGACCAACAAGUAUAUUAAAAGUGGCUCUUUCAAGACAACAUUUUUCAUGGCCCACCAACGACUUCUAGAUGAAAAAAUUGAUGUGAUUAUCUUGAUAUUUCUUGAGAAAGUAUUACAGAAGUCCCGAUAUGUUCAGCUGAGGAAGAGGCUGUGCAGAAGUUCUGUUCUGGAAUGGCCAACUAAUCCUCGAUCUCAGCCCUACUUCUGGCAAUGUCUGAAAAAUGCCAUAGCUAUGAACAAUACCCUGGCUUACAACAAACUUCUCCAGGAAACUGUUUAACUUUACCACUCCCUGUAAAAUACUUUUAUGUGUGGUGAGGAAAAGAUACUGAACUUGCUAUGGAGAAAAUGUGGAAGUGGAGGGGGUAAAUAUAAUUGAGAUAUGAUAGCUGAAAGUGAAACGCACAAUCUGUUCCAAAGAUAAUAAUUCACUUGUUUUGCUAUGACAACAUUAACUAUAAACAGUUGCCAGCACAGAUGUUUAGCUGAUGCACACCUCAUCCAGCAUUUGCAGCAAGAGAAGAUGAUGCAACACUGUCACCACUCCUAGUUUCAGUUCUCUAGAGAACAUCUGACAUCACCUGGCUGGGUCAAGUGUGAGUGAGACAAUUGCUCAGCUCUAGUUCCCAAGCUGCCUGGAGGAGUCUGGCCAUGCUUAAGUUUGCUGCUGUUUGGAUCACUGUUGGAGUAAAUAUUAUUCUGACUCACCACAUAUUCAGAAUAUUUGAGAUCCACAGGUCUAUGUGGAAGAAUUAUAUUCAGACAAGAUUAUGCUUUUGAACAUUGCAGCUGGAUGCUACAUCUCAUUCCUAAUAAAAUCUCCUAACUUAACUCUCCAGUUAUCUUGGAACAUAUUUUGAAGGCUGGUAGAAACACAGUCACCAAGCUGUGCUCAUUUAUUUAUUCUGAACUCACCUUUGUGAUGCAAAAACAGCAACUUCCAAAAAAGGAUUUUAGCAACCCUUGCUCCACUGGACAAACAAGUUGCAAACACAAACUGAAGACUCCCUCCUUCGCAGCCACUUUACUUCUACUUCCUGUGGCUGAAAUUCUGUGUACGUAAUCCCACUCUGAGGCGAAAUCUAGUCCUUCCAAGAUUCUUGUUCUUCAAGCAAAUACAUUAAUCCCUUAGCAGUUAAAUAAGUAUAUGUAUACACAUAUGUAUACAUAUGUAUACACAUAUGUAUACACAUAUGUAUACAUACACAAAUAUCAAAAACGCCUUCAGCUACAAAGAAAAAGAGUAAUUUUUGAUGUCAUAUUAACGCAGUUUCAACUAUUUUGAAUAAUCCGUCAACAAAUCUCACAGAAAGAACGUGGUUUAUGUAUUCAAAGGAAAAAAAUAAAAAGACACAAACCCUGUAAAUCAUGCUGAAUACAUAAUUCUAAAGAAAGAAGAACCUAAAAGUGCAAAACAAACACAUCUGCUCAAAGUAGAAUUCUAUACUCAGGAACAAAAAUGAACUGAUGGUCUAAGUCUGGAACAGUUUGCAAGUAUUUUGUUGUACUGGUAAUUUUACAUGUAGUUAGUCACAUACAUAUGAGAGAGAAUAAAGGGUUUUUUUGUCAUCUGUUUCUUACAGAAAUUUAUGCAUUUCUUUUAAAUCACUGAGCCUAUUUUGCAACUGUAUGUUUUAAUCAAAACUAAUACAACUCCUGCAUUAUCUACUAUGGAAAUACAUUAAUUACUUAUCAGCAUGACUUAUCUGUUGUUCACUGAUUCACUUCCUGUAUUACAGUAUAUUAUCCAAUAUGUUCAGAAUACACUGUAAAGACCUUAAAUAGAAUUUGAUUAUUCCAGUUUUAAUGCCUUCUCAUGAUUUUUGAAAACAAACAAACAAACAAACAAAAAGAAAUACAGGCACUAUUUCUCUUUUGUAUGUCUCUGGUCUCAUCUUUCAGAUCCCCUCCUAUCCCUUUCUUUAGUAGACUGAAGAAUGCCCUCCUUACAGACACUUUCCCCCAUUUCUUAUCCCUGAUUUAUGAUCAAAUCAAUUCCUCAUUUUCUCUCUCUUGAAUAAAUCAUCUUUUCAAACAAGAAAAAAUAAAACUCCUCUUUUUCAGUCUCUCAUGGGAAGACAUUUUGAACUAGCAAGUGCCACAAUGAGUAGAGAGGUAAAAGAAGAAAUGCUCAACUUGCUCCCCAUCCAGCCUGGCCUUGAACACCUCCAGGAAUGGAGCAUCCACAGCCUCUCUGGGCAGCCUGUUCCAGCACCUCUCUACUCUCUCUGUAAAGAACAUUCCCCUGACAUCAAAGUUAAUCACAAUGGAUUAUAAUACAUUGCCAAAUGUAUAGUAGAGCUGUGUAGCUUUUGUGUCUAAGCAAUAUAGUAAUUAUUUUUCAUGGACUGAUCUGGACAAUUUCUUCAACUAUAGCUAAAUGGAAAUUGUAGGGUGGCAGAAUGGAACAAUACAAAUCGCAUCAUGAUCAGAAUUUGAAUCUGAUGUAUUUCUGUUCUCAAGAAAGGGUAUCAUGAGAUUGUUAGUUCUCAAUGAAUCCUCACAUUCCCCUACCUGCUGAUCAUCAUGUGCCUACCCAACCAUCAAGUGUACGUAUUGAUUCUACUUCUAUUUUUCUUUAUACAUUUUAUUGAUCUUCUCCUUUAUCUUAUUUCCACUUCUUGUUUCAUGGGAACUCUUUCUGCAGAGCAAACAAAUGGACUCAACAUUAAUCUCAAAUGCCUAUAUUCUGCAUUAUGCUUUAUCCUCAUUUUAGAUGAUAAAAUUUCUCAUGACAGCUAUUCGCUUUGAAAUAUUUCAUAUGCAUCCAUAUGCCUAUACAUUAAAUAAAAGCAUAUUCAGGAAACAACUUCAUAUCAUUUUAAAAGGAUAAAGAAGAAAUGUGCUUACAUUGCAAAUCCACAGGCAUUUCUUGUUCAGUUUGUUGCAGAAAAAACACUUACCUUGUUGCCACCAUUUAUUUGUCAUUUCUACAAAUAAACAGUUAUCUCCUUCA